GAUGAACGCUGGCGGCGUGCCUAAUACAUGCAAGUCGAGCGAACGGACGAGAAGCUUGCUUCUCUGAUGUUAGCGGCGGACGGGUGAGUAACACGUGGAUAACCUACCUAUAAGACUGGGAUAACUUCGGGAAACCGGAGCUAAUACCGGAUGAUAUUUUGAACCGCAUGGUUCAAAAGUGAAAGACGGUCUUGCUGUCACUUAUAGAUGGAUCCGCGCUGCAUUAGCUAGUUGGUAAGGUAACGGCUUACCAAGGCAACGAUGCAUAGCCGACCUGAGAGGGUGAUCGGCCACACUGGAACUGAGACACGGUCCAGACUCCUACGGGAGGCAGCAGUAGGGAAUCUUCCGCAAUGGGCGAAAGCCUGAAGGAGCAACGCCGCGUGAGUGAUGAAGGUCUUCGGAUCGUAAAACUCUGUUAUUAGGGAAGAACAUAUGUGUAAGUAACUGUGCACAUCUUGACGGUACCUAAUCAGAAAGCCACGGCUAACUACGUG
This 497-nucleotide ribosomal RNA is filed under the name uncultured bacterium. Its description in RNAcentral is "partial 16S ribosomal RNA". It matches the Rfam family "Bacterial small subunit ribosomal RNA", at positions 28 to 507 of the family's 1533-position model. The record is from RNAcentral.